Molecule: ribosomal RNA, 215 nt
Filed under: uncultured bacterium
Lineage: Bacteria
Description: partial 16S ribosomal RNA
Rfam family: Bacterial small subunit ribosomal RNA
Source: RNAcentral
AGCGAACGUUAGCGGCGGGCCUAACACAUGCAAGUCGAACGAGAAUGAGGGGCAACUCCUCUAGUAAAGUGGCGGACGGGUGCGUAACACGUGGGUAAUCUACCGUUCCGGCGGGGACAACAGGUACCGAAAGGAUUGCUAAUACCGCAUUCGUCGGCAGGGUCUACGGACUCUGCCGGGAAAGAUGGCCUCUCCUUGGAAGCUGUCACCGGAAG